UCCCUGGUGGCUCAGUGGUAAAGAAUCUGCCUGCCAAGCAGGAAACAUGGGUUCAGUCCCUGUGUGAGGAA
RNAcentral lists this transfer RNA (71 nucleotides) under Ovis aries (sheep). It matches the Rfam family "tRNA". Rfam says of the family: Transfer RNA (tRNA) molecules are approximately 80 nucleotides in length. Their secondary structure includes four short double-helical elements and three loops (D, anti-codon, and T loops). Further hydrogen bonds mediate the characteristic L-shaped molecular structure. tRNAs have two regions of fundamental functional importance: the anti-codon, which is responsible for specific mRNA codon recognition, and the 3' end, to which the tRNAs corresponding amino acid is attached (by aminoacyl-tRNA synthetases). tRNAs cope with the degeneracy of the genetic code in two manners: having more than one tRNA (with a specific anti-codon) for a particular amino acid; and 'wobble' base-pairing, i.e. permitting non-standard base-pairing at the 3rd anti-codon position. The record is from Rfam by way of RNAcentral. Lineage: Eukaryota; Metazoa; Chordata; Mammalia; Artiodactyla; Bovidae.